UCAGUGUAUCAUUGUAUCAUUGUUGCAUUAGUUGUCGUUUCAGUUUCAUUUUACGAGUGGGGGUGGAUUAGGAGGCGGGGUGUAGGGGUGUAGGGGGUGUAGGGGUGCUUACAUACCUAGUGGACUUAAGUUACCCUGCUAGUGAAUCAUAGGAGUGAACAGUAGUAGUAGUAGUAGUAGUAGAGGAGAGGAAGAGGAGUGAGAGGUGACGGCGAAGUGAGGCGUGGGAAGGGAAGGGUGAGCGUUCAAAGCUUCGAGUCGUGAGUUACGGUUCAUCAUUACGAAACGGGAGGCAGGUUACGGCCGCUACAGUACACCUCGCGGCUCCACACGGCUCAGGUUACGGUGGUGUUCCUGCCUCUUGCCGCCUCAUGCACACAGAGGUAAGGAGCAAAUCACCAGGCUGCUCGCUGAUUGGUGGAGCGGCUGGUGACGUAAUGAACAUCUGUGCUGUGAUUGCCUUUCAAGAUCAUACGCACUUCUUGUAUCACUCUUACAAUGAUGACGUCUGUGAACACCUCGCAUCGCUCACCUUUGUUGCGUCACGAGCACCUGCCGCGGGGGAAGCAACCGCAGAUAUUGCAUUCCUCUGCCCUCUCUCUCUUUCUCGCCCCAAGUAUUACCUCCACUUGCACGCUCUCACUCCUGUAAA
This is a long non-coding RNA of Scylla paramamosain (green mud crab), 652 nucleotides long. RefSeq lists it as uncharacterized. The transcript has 3 exons. The record is from RefSeq and is a predicted model, not a curated record. Lineage: Eukaryota; Metazoa; Arthropoda; Malacostraca; Decapoda; Portunidae.